Molecule: ribosomal RNA, 1657 nt
Filed under: Plasmodium malariae
Lineage: Eukaryota; Apicomplexa; Aconoidasida; Haemosporida; Plasmodiidae
Rfam family: Bacterial large subunit ribosomal RNA
Source: RNAcentral
UUGAUUUAUUAUAAAAGUAUCUGAAUAAAAUAUUUUUAUAUAAAUAUUUUUAAAAUACUUAAGGAAUUGAAUCAUCUUAGUACUUAAAGGAAUAUAAAGUAAUAACGAUUUUCAUAGUAGUGGUGAAUGAAUUGAAAAAUUUUAAACAUUAUAUAUGUAAUAUUUUAUAUAAGUAAUAUAAAAGUAUAUUUUAUAUGAAUAUUAUUAUAUAAAUAAUAAGAAUCAUCUUAUAAAAUUUAAUAUAAUAAAAGUUGAUAGAGAAAUAGUACCGUGAGGGAAAGAUGAAAAGAAUUUUGAAAAAAUAGUGAAAAGAACCUGAAUUUUAAAUUUAAAAAAUUAUAAUAAAAUUUAUAUUAAUUUUAUUAUAUUCUUGUUGAAGAAAGAAUUAGCAAGUUAUAUUAAAUAGUAUAAUAAUUAGGUUAAAUAUUUAUUAUAAAUGAAGCCAAAGUGUAAUCGAGUUUAUUUUAAUUAAUAAACAUUAAAAUAUAUUAUUUAUUAUAGACCCGAAAUCAAAUGAUCUAAUUAUGUUUAAAAUAAAAUUUAAGUAAUAUUAAAUUGAAGUUUGAAUUGAUUAUUGUUGCAAAAAUAUCAAAUAAAAUAUAAUUAGAGGUGAAAUGCCAAUCGAAUUUGAAGAUAGCUGGUUCUCUUUGAAAUAUAUGUAAGUAUAGUAUAUAUAUAUAAAUAAAUGUAAAACUCUUUUUUUAUUAAAUUAAUUUAAAUAAUUAAUAUUAAUAUAAAUAAUUUAAUAAUUUUAUUUAAUAAAAUAUAUAUAUAAUUAGAAAAUAAAGGAUAAGCUUUAUUUUCUAUAGGGAAACAGCCCUAAUUAUAAAUUAAGAUUUUUAAAUAUUAGUUAAGUUUUAAAAAGAAUAUAAAAUUAUUUAGAUAGUUAAAAAGUAAAUUUAGAAGCAGUUAUCUUUUAAAGAGUGCGUAAAAGCUCAUUAAUUUAGUAAUUUUAAUUCAAAAAUAAUCGAAAAUAAAUUAAUUAUCGAAAUUAUAAAAUUUAAUAUUAAUAAUAAUUAAAUUGGUAAAAGAGCGUUUUGAUAAUAUUUAUUUAUAUGUAAAUUAAAAUAAUAAAAUCAAAAGUGAUAAUGCUAAUUUGAGUAAUGUAAAUAUUGGUAAAAAUCCAAUACUUCUAUAAUUUAAGGUUUCCAAUUUAUAAUUAAUUUGAAUUGGGUUAGUCGAAUCUUAAAAUAAGAUGAAAUGUGUAGUUGAUAGUUAAUAAGUUAAUAUUCUUAUACUAUAUAAUAAUUUAUAUUUUAAGACUAAUAUAAUAUUUUUAUAUUAUAAAAAAAUUAUUAAUAUAUAUUUUUAUUAUAUAUUCGUACCGUAAACUGACACUAGUAAAUAUAUAUAUAUUAUUAAGAAGUUGAGAUAAUUUUUUUUAAGGAACUAGGCAAAUUUAUCUUGUAACUUAGGGAUAAAAGAUACUUAUUUAGUUGAAAAUAAUAAAUUUAAGCGACUGUUUAACAAAAACACAAAUCUUUGCUAAAUUGAAAAAUGAUGUAUAAAGAUUGACAUCUGCCCAGUGCUAUUAUGUAAAAAUAAUAUAUGUAAUUUAAUAUUAUAAUAUAUAUAUAAGCUAUAGUAAACGGCGGCUGUAUCUAUAACGGUCCAAAGGUAGCGAAAUUCCUUGUCGGGUAAGUUCCGACCUGCAUGA